AGUGAACGCUGGCGGUAGGCCUAACACAUGCAAGUCGAACGGCAGCACAGUAAGAGCUUGCUCUUACUGGUGGCGAGUGUUGGACUGGUGAGGAAUACAUCUGAAUCUACUUUUUCGUUGGGGAUCACGUAGUGAAACUUACGCUAAUACCGCAUACGACCUACGGGUGAUAGCAUGGGAUCUUCGGACCUUGCGCGAUUGAAUGAGCCGAUGUCGGAUUAGCUAGUUGGCGGGGUAAAGGCCCACCAAGGCGACGAUCCGUAGCUGGUCUGAGAGGAUGAUCCGCCACACUGGAAGUGAGACACGGUCGAGACUCCUAAGGGAGGCAGCAGUAGGGAAUAUUGAACAAUGGGAGAAAGAGUGAGCAAGGAAUACCGCGUGGGUGAAGAAGGCCUGCGGGUUGUAAAACGCUUUUGUUGGGGAAGAAAAGCAGAAGGUUAAUACCCCGCUGAACUGACGGUACCAAAACAAUAAGCACCGGCUAACUUCGUG
Molecule: ribosomal RNA, 492 nt
Filed under: uncultured bacterium
Lineage: Bacteria
Description: partial 16S ribosomal RNA
Rfam family: Bacterial small subunit ribosomal RNA
Source: RNAcentral